Molecule: ribosomal RNA, 274 nt
Filed under: uncultured bacterium
Lineage: Bacteria
Description: partial 16S ribosomal RNA
Rfam family: Bacterial small subunit ribosomal RNA
Source: RNAcentral
AUACGGAGGGUGCAAGCGUUAAUCGGAAUUACUGGGCGUAAAGCGCGCGUCGGCGGUUUGAUAAGUCGGAUGUGAAAUCCCCGGGCUCAACCUGGGAAUUGCAUUCGAUACUGUCAGGCUCGAGUGUGGUAGAGGGAAGUGGAAUUUCCGGUGUAGCGGUGAAAUGCGUAGAUAUCGGAAGGAACAACAGUGGCGAAGGCGGCUUCCUGGACCAACACUGACGCUGAGGUGCGAAAGCGUGGGGAGCAAACAGGAUUAGAAACCCCAGUAGUCC